This 242-nucleotide ribosomal RNA is filed under the name uncultured bacterium. RNAcentral describes it as "partial 16S ribosomal RNA". It matches the Rfam family "Bacterial small subunit ribosomal RNA", at positions 28 to 260 of the family's 1533-position model. The record is from RNAcentral.
GACGAACGCUGGCGGCGUGCUUAACACAUGCAAGUCGAGCGGUAAGGCCCUUCGGGGUACGACGAGCGGCGAACGGGUGAGUAACACGUGGGUGACCUGCCCUCAGCUCUGGGAUAAGCCCGGGAAACUGGGUCUAAUACCGGAUAUGACCUCUCAUCGCAUGGUGGGUGGUGGAAAGUCGGUGUCAUUGAUGCCGGCGGUUGGGGAUGGGCCCGCGGCCUAUCAGCUUGUUGGGGGGGUGA